AGACGUAGGGGGCGAGCGUUGUCCGGAAUUACUGGGCGUAAAGCGCGCGCAGGCGGACAUGCAAGUCGGGGGUGAAAUCCUAGGGCUUAACCCUGGGACUGCUCCCGAUACUGCGUGUCUAGGGACCGGUAGAGGUCGGUGGAAUUCCCGGUGUAGCGGUGGAAUGCGUAGAUAUCGGGAAGAACACCUGUGGCGAAGGCGGCCGACUGGGCCGGAUCCGACGCUGAGGCGCGAAAGCGUGGGGAGCAAACAGGAUUAGAUACCCUGGUAGUCCACGCCGUAAACGAUGGGUGCUAGAUGCCGGGGGGAGCGACCCCUUCGGUGUCGUAGCUAACGCGUUAAGCACCCCGCCUGGGGAGUACGGCCGCAAGGCUGAA
This 377-nucleotide ribosomal RNA is filed under the name uncultured bacterium. RNAcentral describes it as "bacterial SSU rRNA". It matches the Rfam family "Bacterial small subunit ribosomal RNA", at positions 523 to 898 of the family's 1533-position model. The record is from RNAcentral.